This 253-nucleotide ribosomal RNA is filed under the name uncultured bacterium. Its description in RNAcentral is "partial 16S ribosomal RNA". It matches the Rfam family "Bacterial small subunit ribosomal RNA", at positions 524 to 776 of the family's 1533-position model. The record is from RNAcentral.
UACGAGGGGGGCGAGCGUUGUUCGGAAUUACUGGGCGUAAAGAGUGCGUAGGCGGUUCUUGAAGUCCGCUGUGAAAGCCCCGGGCUUAACCUGGGAAUGGCAGUGGAAACUGGAGGACUUGAAUUGAGCAGAGGGGGGUGGAAUGCCGCGUGUAGCAGUGAAAUGCGUAGAGAUGCGGCGGAACACCGAUGGCGAAGGCAGCCCCCUGGGCUUAAAUUGACGCUGAGGCACGAAAGCGUGGGGAGCAAACAGG